AUUAGCUAGUUGGUGAGGUAAAGGCUCACCAAGGCGACGAUCCCUAGCUGGUCUGAGAGGAUGAUCAGCCACACUGGAACUGAGACACGGUCCAGACUCCUACGGGAGGCAGCAGUGGGGAAUAUUGCACAAUGGGCGCAAGCCUGAUGCAGCCAUGCCGCGUGUAUGAAGAAGGCCUUCGGGUUGUAAAGUACUUUCAGUCGUGAGGAAGGUGGUAGUGUUAAUAGCACCAUCAUUUGACGUUAGCGACAGAAGAAGCACCGGCUAACUCCGUGCCAGCAGCCGCGGUAAUACGGAGGGUGCGAGCGUUAAUCGGAAUUACUGGGCGUAAAGCGCAUGCAGGUGGUUCGUUAAGUCAGAUGUGAAAGCCCGGGGCUCAACCUCGGAAUAGCAUUUGAAACUGUCGGACUAGAGUACUGUAGAGGGGGGUAGAAUUUCAGGUGUAGCGGUGAAAUGCGUAGAGAUCUGAAGGAAUACCAGUGGCGAAGGCGGCCCCCUGGACAGAUACUGACACUCAGAUGCGAAAGCGUGGGGAGCAAACAGGAUUAGAUACCC
RNAcentral lists this ribosomal RNA (555 nucleotides) under Vibrio cortegadensis. Its description in RNAcentral is "bacterial SSU rRNA". It matches the Rfam family "Bacterial small subunit ribosomal RNA", at positions 240 to 787 of the family's 1533-position model. The record is from RNAcentral. Lineage: Bacteria; Pseudomonadati; Pseudomonadota; Gammaproteobacteria; Vibrionales; Vibrionaceae.